AUAGCGACAUAUUAAGCGUAACAACCUCCAUAAAAGACACCCCUAAAUCGAAAAUAAAAUAACAUCCAAUGAAUGAUGAAAUAUUUACCCAGCUCGCUUUGAUCUUAAGUGAAGAAAACUUCCGAACCAACGCAAAAGAAGUCUCUGAACCCAAACUAAUAUAAAAUGUUUUCGAUUUGGUGUAAACUUUUUUAAUAGCGUUAUGUAUUUCUCUUACAGAACGCAGUGGAUGGAAUUAUCAUUUUGCCCCUUCAUUCAAUCAGUCGAAGCGUCGCUUUCGCACACGCAAUUCUAGAUUCAAAAUACGAUUUGUUAUUUAGGUUUUGAAACGCGUAAAGAAUUUAACUGCGCACACUGCUUGAGGAACUUUCAGGUUUUGAAAUGUGAAAAGAAUUUAACAGCGGACGCUGCUUGAGGAACUUUGAGAACGCAGUGGAUGGAAUUAUCAUUUUGCCCCUUCAUUCAAUCAGUCGAAGCGUCGCUUUCGCACACGCAAUUCUAGAUUCAAAAUACGAUUUGUUAUUUAGGUUUUGAAACGCGUAAAGAAUUUAACUGCGCACACUGCUUGAGGAACUUUCAGGUUUUGAAAUGUGAAAAGAAUUUAACAGCGGACGCUGCUUGAGGAACUUUGAGAACGCAGUGGAUGGAAUUAUCAUUUUGCCCCUUCAUUCAAUCAGUCGAAGCGUCGCUUUCGCACACGCAAUUCUAGAUUCAAAAUACGAUUUGUUAUUUAGGUUUUGAAACGCGUAAAGAAUUUAACUGCGCACACUGCUUGAGGAACUUUCAGGUACAUAAGUUAACAAAUUUAAAUUAAGCAAGGUAACAUGGUUAUUUAUUUUCGAUAUUGGAUUUGUUUAAAGUGUAUUUUAGUCCACUAGAACGACUUUUUAGUUAAUAUACGGCUCGAUUUUACCUCAAUAAAUAAAGCAAUAAUAAAUAUAACAAAGUUUUA
This 952-nucleotide small RNA is filed under the name Drosophila ananassae. RNAcentral describes it as "GF27855". Lineage: Eukaryota; Metazoa; Arthropoda; Insecta; Diptera; Drosophilidae. The record is from RNAcentral.